This 416-nucleotide ribosomal RNA is filed under the name uncultured Gammaproteobacteria bacterium. Its description in RNAcentral is "bacterial SSU rRNA". It matches the Rfam family "Bacterial small subunit ribosomal RNA", at positions 9 to 429 of the family's 1533-position model. The record is from RNAcentral. Lineage: Bacteria; Pseudomonadati; Pseudomonadota; Gammaproteobacteria.
GAGUUUGAUCGUGGCUCAGAACGAACGCUGGCGGCGUGCCUAACACAUGCAAGUCGAGCGGCAGCGCGGGGCAACCUGGCGGCGAGCGGCGAACGGGUGAGUAAUGCAUCGGAACGUGUCCAUGUCGUGGGGGAUAGCCCGGCGAAAGCCGGAUUAAUACCGCAUACGCCCGAGAGGGGAAAGUGGGGGACCGCAAGGCCUCACGCGAUUGGGUCGGCCGAUGUCCGAUUAGCUAGUUGGCGGGGUAAAGGCCCACCAAGGCGAUGAUCGGUAGCUGGUCUGAGAGGAUGAUCAGCCACACUGGGACUGAGACACGGCCCAGACUCCUACGGGAGGCAGCAGUGGGGAAUAUUGGACAAUGGGGGCAACCCUGAUCCAGCCAUGCCGCGUGAGUGAUGAAGGCCUUCGGUUGUAAG